AGUGGAAUUUCUGGGUCAUAUGGCAACUCUGUUUUACUUUUUGAGAAAAUGCCCAACUGUUUUCCAAAGCAGCUUUAACAGUUUGUAUUCACACUAGCUAU
RNAcentral lists this microRNA precursor (101 nucleotides) under Marmota monax (woodchuck). Lineage: Eukaryota; Metazoa; Chordata; Mammalia; Rodentia; Sciuridae. The record is from RNAcentral.